Gavialis gangeticus (Gharial) is the source of this 131-nucleotide long non-coding RNA. RefSeq lists it as uncharacterized. The record is from RefSeq and is a predicted model, not a curated record. The transcript has 3 exons. Lineage: Eukaryota; Metazoa; Chordata; Crocodylia; Gavialidae.
CCUUCUGCUCCAUGGGAGGUUUCUGUCCUUCCUGAGCUCACCUUAGGACACCUGCAUUACUGUUUGACAGGUGUACCGCCCCAGUCAAACUCCCCACCUGAUGCUGCACCAGGAGCUCGGAAGAGCACACG